Malus domestica (apple) is the source of this 1240-nucleotide non-coding RNA. NCBI's taxonomy places the organism in Eukaryota, Viridiplantae, Streptophyta, Magnoliopsida, Rosales, Rosaceae. The record is from RefSeq and is a predicted model, not a curated record.
UCAGAAAUUGACUUCAUUCUCUCUCUCUCUUAUAUUAUUUCAACGCUCACCUUAUUUCCUUCUCAUCCCUCACCUAUCUCUUCGUUCUUCCAUUUUCUUCUGCAAAAGACAGUGAGGCUGGAAGGCCAAGGACCAACACACAUGCAUGCCCAAUUUCCUUCACCUCUCCCUCUCUUGCAUAGCGCAAUAACUGUGCAUCUAUUUCUGACGACAUAUCGCCAUCUUUGGUGAAGGUGUUAGCAAGAAAAACAACUCGAGGGACAUUUUCCAAACUUCUGGAAACUUCAAAAACUGUGGUCAUUUGGCCACUUUCUAGCCAUUAUUCGGGCCAACCUCGUGCUCUAGCCAUUAUUCGGGCCAACCUCGUGCUCCAUCAAUCCUUCCAAGGGUAUGAGUCUCUUCUCUAUAUUCCUAACUUCAGAAUAGCUUUUGAAUCACUCAUUUUGGUUAACUAUCAAAUUAGAAAUUAGCCCUGAAAGUUUGGAAGAAAUUUUGCACAUUUUUCAACAAGAGCUCGUGACCAUUUGGCCACAUUCAGACCAAAUUUCCGAUCAACACCGACCACGUUUGGACUUCUAGUACGUAUGGUCGAUUCCCUACAUUUCUAGCUCCAAAUGGGUUUUCACUACCUCGGAGAUCAGAAAAUACCAAAGAGCGACCGUUUUCGCUACCUAGGAUCUAUCUUGCAAAAGAACGGAGAAUUAGAUGGAGAUCUCAACCAUAGAAUACAAACUGGAUGGAUGAAUAGGAAGAGUGCAUCCGGCGUGUUGUGUGACCGUCGUAGGCCACUAAAGCUCAAGGGAAAAUUUUAUAGGACGGCAAUAAGGCCGGCGAUGCUGUAUGGCACAAAAUGUUGGACGGUGAAGCAUCAACACGUCCACAAAAUGGGUCUGGACAUGUGCAAAGAAGGCCUACUGACACUCCAGUUUGAAGAUGUGACUACGGGAUAGAGAUUCAGGGCCGAAGGGGUAAAGGAAGACCUAGGAAAACUUUGGAAGAGACCCUAAGAAAAGACUUAGAGUACUUGGAUCUAACAGAGGACAUGACACAAAACUGAGCGCAAUGGCGUUCUAGGAUUCAUAUAGCCGACCCCACUUAGUGGGAAAAGGCUUUGUUGUUGUUGUUGUUGUACAAUUUGAAGGGUGUAAAAGGGGCUAAACUUGGGAGUGGCUAACUGUUGUAAGUCUGGGCAAUUGAUUCACUAUGUGCAAAGAGAAAUGCCAGCAACAUUAUUGUCAAA